GGCUUGAAAGCAAAUUAGAGGGAGAAUAGAUGAUCUCCAAGGAAUUAACUGAGGAUGACCCAAACCUCCCAGCCCAAACAAAAAAUAAAAAGAAAUUGCCAGGUACACAAAGUCACCAUGCACCAAGUACCAUGACCAUUUGCCUCCUAACAACUGCCUAAAAGAUGCAACACAAUGCAGUAUGAAUGCUAAACUAAAUAAAGACAAGCCCAAAAUCCUAAAAAUGGUUGGACACUUAAAAUCCACGGUCAAUUAUUACAUUGAAAGAGGUUGCAUUUGGCAAGAAUAAUAUUCUUUCAAAGCACACUAAGGAACUUUGCUUAAACUAGGAGAGAAGUUGCAAAUUACCCAUCAAGUUCCACUAGGAGU
This 369-nucleotide unclassified non-coding RNA is filed under the name Hevea brasiliensis (rubber tree). The record is from RNAcentral. Lineage: Eukaryota; Viridiplantae; Streptophyta; Magnoliopsida; Malpighiales; Euphorbiaceae.